Paramisgurnus dabryanus is the source of this 1753-nucleotide RNA transcript. It is a transcript of the gene named E3 ubiquitin-protein ligase RNF19A, with no coding region annotated. Lineage: Eukaryota; Metazoa; Chordata; Actinopteri; Cypriniformes; Cobitidae. The record is from RefSeq and is a predicted model, not a curated record.
CAAAAGUGAAAGUUAAGUACUGUGGUAUUCCCCUAUGGUGUUUACAGUAUAAUAUUGCACUGAAGCAUUCAUUUGCGAGCAAUUCAUUUUCACUCUACACUGCAUUCUUAACAUUCGGGUAUCUCAUUGCUCAAUUCUGUAUAAGAGAACUGGAGUCAUGAAGCUUAUAAAGUGUCCUGGUUGCCACCGUUUACGGAUGAAAAAGGUAGACGGUCAGCGCGUGGUCUGCAGGUCAUGUUCUAAAGCAAAGCGGCGCGUGUUUCAGUUCUGCUGGGCUUGUCAGAGAGAGUGGCCCCGCGAGGCUUCGAGCAAUGACUCCUGCAUGCUGCCAAACUGUGCGCUCCGUGCGGUGCUCCUCAGCACCAAAUGGAUAAAUGACCCUCAAAGCUCAGUGAGAGGAUGCCCGUACUUAAGGCCCUGUCCAAAAUGCAAGGCCCUACUCACUCAUAAGGGUGAUGGAUGCCCUAAUAUUGUUUGUCCCCAAUGCAAUGAAGAGUUCUGCUUCCGCUGCAUGCGCCCACAGUGCUACGACAAUGAUUAUUAUGACUCUGACUUUGAUGACAGUGAUUAUGACAUUGGGAUAGAGCAAUGUGUGAUUAAGAAUAACACUGAGAUUCUUCGACAGCUCGAACUGUAGUGGAACUGUGAAGCAGUCAAUCUUUAAAUUUUUGCUGAUGAGAUGACCCAUUUGGUAUAACUGACAAAAAGACUUUGGCAUUCUUUUGCAAAAGGAAGGUGAAUGCUUUCACUGGUAUUCCCCUUCAUGUUCAAGUUUAAAGGAAGUAAUUCAUUUUUUGAGCAGUGGAUAGAGGGUGUGUUUGUCUCCAUUAAGUAGGCUACUUGCUUUAAUUUUGUAUUUACCCAGCUUCUGUAGCAAGGGAGCUGAAGCAGCGAACAGGUUUCUUUGUCUGUGGAUGUGGUCCAGCAGGAUUUGAGACAUGAACGCUCCAAAGGUACACUGACCGUGUACUGAGCCCUUGUGAUGUCAGAGACACUUUAAGGCAAUUGUUCUGACAGAAUAAAGCUAUAGGCUUUAUUUAGCACACUUUGCCAAGAGUCUAGAAGAACCGGGUUAAAACGUUUAAGACUUAAGAGCUAGCCUACUGGUUUUAAUUUAAGGCACAAAAACUGACAAUUUAGGAGGCUGAACAACAUUAAUAAAUAUAAUUGGAGAGCAACCCUAUAUAGUCGUUGUUGCUUUACAUAUUACUUUCUUUGAAUAUAAAAUAUAAUUAUACUACAAGGACAGGAUCAUUUUAAAAUCCCCAUGAAAUAAUUUUUUCCAUUUAGUAUAAAUUAAAUAAAUAUUCUCUGCUUUAGUAGAUUUAGCUAAAAUAAAAUGAGUAAACCGUAUAAAAUGUUGAAUUCUUUUUUUUUUUGUUAAAACAACACAAAAAGUGUAUUAAUUUGAGUAUUUCUAAAUGAACACAUUAUUGAAUACAUUCAACUUAAUUUGAUCAUGUUUAAUCUACUUAAAUUUGUAAAAAGGAAAUGAUCUUAAUAUUUUGUGUUGAAGCUACAUGAAUGAUUUUGUAAGAAACAUAAGGCAGUGGACUUGAUGCUUCCAUCAUGCUUUGCAUGAAACUGCAUUUGGAGAGUAAAAUUUGAAAUUCUUAACUAAAAAGAAAGACUUGUUAGUGUUUAAUGUUCAUUUAUGUUUGAGAUUUAGAAGAGUUUUGUAGUUAGCAUUGUUCAGAAGAGUGGUGCUUAUAGACUGCACUUUUUAAAGUGACACUGGUUGACAUUGAAUAAA